This 3894-nucleotide long non-coding RNA is filed under the name Nicotiana benthamiana. RNAcentral describes it as "long non-coding RNA (NBEN_LNC023466)". The record is from RNAcentral. Lineage: Eukaryota; Viridiplantae; Streptophyta; Magnoliopsida; Solanales; Solanaceae.
UCCACACUUAUCUCAAAAGGGAUUUUGAUCAUUAUUAAAAAGGGAUCAUAUUGCGUCGUGCUCAUCCUGCACAUUUAUUAAGGUGAUUAAGAAAAAGAAAAACUUUUAUUCAACUCAAAAUGAAACUAUCUAUAUUCUUUUUCCAGAUUUUAAAAAUGAAGGACUUGUUUUCAAACACGGGCCUUUCAGCACUGCGGCAACGAAGAUUUUAAGGAUGUGGGAGUCACCAGCCAAAAAUCAAAAUUGACCAAAAAUGGCCAUUUUUGCAAAGUCAGCGUUCCGGUGUCCCUUUCGGGAACCUUCGGCUAUUUAUGACAAAACGGCCUUACCCGAUUUAUUUACGACUCUUUUCUUAUUUUUCAAAUUAAAAUUAAAAUAAAAGACCUGGUAUUGCAAUCACGGCCUUUCAACGCCUUGAGGACUAAAACUUAAGGUUGUGAGGAUUAAAAAUCAAAACAUGAUCAAAGGUGGCUAUUUAUACAAGGUUUGCUUUCGACGUCCCGUUUGGGAAUAUUCGGCUAUUUUGCCAAAACAACGUCAUCCGACUUAUUUAUGACAAAAAUUAAUAAAUUGAUAUUUUGUUGGCUAUUUUUGCAAAGGGAAUGUUGGACCCGUUGAUGGUUCCCUACGUAUCCCACACACUGGGAGAAUCAAACAUGCAUAGUUCGGGAAAAUUAACUGAACUAUUUUAAAACUGAACUCUUUUGAUUUUCAUUUUUGGCAACAAAUGACAAAGCCACUUUCAAAGUACGACUCUUUCAUUUUUAUUUUUGGCAUUUCAUAAACUAAUAAAAAACUAUUUUAAAAAACAAGAUUCCUUUUCAUUUUCAUUUUUCAUGGCAAGACAACCUAUUUUUCUUUUCUAUUUUUUGAAAACAAGACAAAAUAACGACUCUUUUUUUUUCUUUUCAAUUUCAACAAAAAAAAACAUCCUAUUUUUCCUAAACUAAAAACAAAGACUCUUUUUCUUUUUCAAUAAACAUUAAAUCAACGUAUUUUUAAAGCUAAAAAUAAAGACUCUUUUCCUUUUUCUUUUUCAAUAAAACAACUUAUUUCCUUUCUGUUGGCAAACAAACUAUUUUGAAAACCAGAAAACCUAAAAAUAAAGACUCUUUUCUUUUCAUCCUUCCCGACAAAACAAACUGUUUUUCCUUUUCUAUUUUUAAUAGCAAGACAGAAUAACGACUAUUUUUUCUAUUAUUCCUUUGAUUUUUUCGUAAAACAAUCUAAUAAAAUAUUUUUUUUAUUUUCUAAAAAUUUCAGCAGAGUAUCGACAACUUUUGGGCAUUGGUUUUUCUAAAACUAAAAAAAUUAAGUCUCUGCACUACUAUUUCUCUCUUUUUUCUCCUUUUCUCAUUUUUACAAUAUUCCUGAUAUUCAAAAAACGGUCAGCAUGUAGGCCCGGGACAAAUAAAUGCACGAAAAAUAAAUAUGAUACAUUAGGAUGGUCUUUUCAUUUCAAGUUCCUAGUCCUAGACAGACUCAACCCCUGUUUUGAGUCCCCUAAGACAAAUGCAAUGUGAUACAAAUAAGCGUUCCUACUAGGGAUCCGGCAUGAAGUCACGUUAUUAUAUGUUAAAAACCUAGGUCAGUAUUCUAGACUGUGUACCCGAGCGGACAACUGGAGUCGAGGAGGGGGCAACUUUUCGGGAACAAAAAGGCCAUCCGGCUUAGUAACUUGUCCGAGCCUCUUUCGUAUUUCAGGGCAUGACACCAUAAGAAUAGGGAGUCUCAACCAGUAAGCACAUCCCGGAGGUGAAAAGAGAAGGGCGCCAGCACAGUUUAUAUACAGUUCAGAUAAUAUUAAAGCGGUAACAUCUAGCACAUUAAGCAUGAAACAUGUAGGAAAAUCAGAUAUAGCCAAAUACAACAAUUUAUCUAAGCUCGAAUUCAAAACUCUGAACAAAAUGUUCUGGGUUCUUGCCCCAGCAAAGUUGACAUAUACUUCACACCUUCUUUUUCACCUACACCUGCAGGGGCAUAAAGGAAUUUUUCCAACUAAAGGACAAUCGGAACGAAAUUUGGUUAUUAAUUAUUCUGAGUCGCCACUUGGGAUUAAUAGUGUCCCAAGUCACUGGUUGAAUCCCAAACCGAGGAAAAAUAUGACUCUGUUAAUAGUCCGCAAAUACAAAAUUCGAGUAAGGAAUUCUGUUAACCGGGAGAAUGUGUUAGGAAUUCGCGGGUUCCGUGGUUCUAGCAUAGUCGCUCAACCGUUGUGUUUGGAUUUUAUCCGAUUUCAAAACAUGUUUUAGCGUAUGUGCCUUUUAUUCGUAAAUUGCUUUUUAUCUUUGUUUAUUUUAGAAGAAUUGCAACGUCGUGAAAACGCAUUUCGAACCACGUCGCAACAAAUGCACCAGUGGUAGUCAACAUAUUUCGACUUCGUCGAAUUUGAAAUUGGGUCACAUCAAUGCGCACCUGAGUUUAAGAAAGUAACUUAAUUAAAUCGUGCCUGAAGAUUCAAACGUAUUAUUAUUUAGAGAAGACUAUAAAAUUCACUAAACGACCCAUCCCGAAGUCUAAUAAUUAACACAACAUUUAUUUGAGGGCCCCGCAAUUUAUAUUUUAUUUGGCGAGGCUCGUCUCAUCAUUUUAUUAAAAGGCCAAUCUAAAAGUGACCAUGAUUUUCUAUUCAUUUGUCUCUAUAAAAUAAAGAAAAUCCUAACUAAUUAAUUUGUUUAAGAAAUACUAUAUUUGGGGUCUAUGAAAUUCUCAUCCUCAAUAGCUUGGGCCUGAAUACAGCCCGCAUAGAGGUAUUACCCUCCAGAUAGGACUGGCCCAGGUCCAAACGAACAGGUAACUAUAUAGGGACCGGGGACAAUCCAUUCACGUAACAGGGCCCAAAUUGCUUAUAAGACUGGCCCAACAUUAACUCAGCUAAACGCCUUCUGAAACCAACAAAAAUGUGUAACAAUAGGAAGUUAUUCAAAUUAACAUGACAUAGCCUAUUUGAACUCUAAUUUCAUGCUCCAAUUAUGCUACUUGCUGACCUUUUGUUGAAUUCUCAGUUAUUUAAAAGGUGAAAACAUAUUAGAUAAAUGAUUUUGUUAAGACACAUCAUGCUAACUUUUGAAUUAGUUUUAGCCAAUAUUACUAGAUCAGCAACAAAGUCCUACUUACUUGCAACUUGAAACCCUUAGUUAACACAAAUCAUUAAUUUCGACUGCCACUUAUUGAGGCCAACUCUGAGUUUAAAACCAAUUCAAGUUAACACUAGUAAUCACAUAACUCAUAUGCGAACUGCCACUAAUUCAACUUAACAACUCAAUAGUAACAAUAACACACAAGCUUAAGCAGUCCAAAGUUAAUACAAUUAGAUCAGUACAAUCCAAUUUCUAGGCAUCUCAUAUCAAUUGGAAAUAAUUCUAGUUAAGCUCAGACAAGUCAAACUAAACAACUAGGCAUGAUUGAAUAUAACUACAGUUUAGCUAUUAAACUGUGAAUGCAUCAGAAGAGCCUUGAUCCAAACUUCAAUUCAUUUCAUCAGCCAAGGGUGUACAAGUGUGUACCUGGAAAGGUUAAAUUCGAGAGAGAAAAGGUCAGUUGAUAAUAGCCAAGCAGUAGCAACACCAGUCAAUGCCCACAGCAAAGGAUCAACAACAACCCAGGAAAAUACAUAAAUUCAACCAGUACGACCAGAUCAAAUAAUUCAACUCACAUGACUCCAAAAUCACUUGAAAACCAAUUAAAAAGCCUCUAAACUUCUAACCACAGACAAGGAGCUGGAAAUUGUGAUCUAGUAGAUAGAAAACUUUGAAAUUACCCAAUGAAAUAGUACAAAUUUUUAAUUUUCCUUCCGAUUUCAAUUUUUUUUGAGUUUUUAUUUGUUUUUGGUUAUUGAAAUUUGAAUCUCUACUUCAGAUCUGAAAAAUUUAAAGAGGGAGUGUUUGGGUGUAG